Molecule: unclassified non-coding RNA, 240 nt
Filed under: soil metagenome
Description: partial contains 5.8S ribosomal RNA, internal transcribed spacer 2, and large subunit ribosomal RNA
Source: RNAcentral
AACGGUCUAUACCUGCGGUACCUGCGGAGGGAUCAUUAACAAAUUCACAACAUUCGUGUUGUUGGAUUGAUUCUACUACAUCGUUCUCUCCUUCGCUCGCUCCUGCGUGUAUAUAUAUAUAUAUAUACGUGGACAGUGAUGAGAGGGGAGGGGGUUCUAGGGGGUCAAUCCAGCGAUUACAACACAUCUCAUACAUACACUUUAUGAUCUGACAAGCAAUGGGAAAUCCAAACAAACUUU